Salvia hispanica is the source of this 485-nucleotide non-coding RNA. Lineage: Eukaryota; Viridiplantae; Streptophyta; Magnoliopsida; Lamiales; Lamiaceae. The record is from RefSeq and is a predicted model, not a curated record.
CUCUCUCUCUGUAGAAAAACACUUUUUUUUUCGUUUUUCUCUUCCACCUAAGCUCCAAAUCCUGCAAUAAUGACGUCGCACGAGAAAGGACAAUCAUUGCCCAAAUUUGGCGAGUGGGAUGUGAAUAAUCCGGCUUCGGCAGAUGGAUUUACGGUUAUCUUUGCAAAGGCGAGGGACGAGAAAGCCAAAGGCUCAGCGGGAGGAUCCGAGCAGUCGGGCCGCACUGACAGUAGUGCCCACCAUGACUUCCCGGAUGCUCCCCGCAAGAUGGCUUGGCUUUGUUGUUUCUGAGACGUGAAUUGCAUUUGGAGCUGUGGAAAAUGAAAUUGGAAAUAUGCAAUUGAUGAGAAAUACACACACGUAUAUAUAUAAUGUUCAAAUUCUGUUUGAACGACUAUUUUUAAUUUCAAUUUUUUUUUUACUUUGUUUUGUAAAUGCAUAUAUGUGUAACAAUUACUCGAUUCAUCUGCAGAUUUCCAAAUUUA